This 422-nucleotide ribosomal RNA is filed under the name uncultured bacterium. RNAcentral's name for it is "bacterial SSU rRNA". It matches the Rfam family "Bacterial small subunit ribosomal RNA", at positions 355 to 774 of the family's 1533-position model. The record is from RNAcentral.
UGAGGAAUAUUGGUCAAUGGGCGGAAGCCUGAACCAGCCAAGUCGCGUGAGGGAUUAAGGCCCUGCGGGUCGUAAACCUCUUUUGCCGGGGAGCAGUGGUCCGGACGCGUCCGGACCGGGAGAGUACCCGGAGAAAAAGCAUCGGCUAACUCCGUGCCAGCAGCCGCGGUAAUACGGAGGAUGCGAGCGUUAUCCGGAUUUAUUGGGUUUAAAGGGUGCGUAGGCGGGCAUUUAAGCCGGCGGUCAAAUGUCGGGGCUCAACCCCGGCCUGCCGUCGGAACUGGGUGCCUUGAGUGGGCGAGAAGUAUGCGGAAUGCGUGGUGUAGCGGUGAAAUGCAUAGAUAUCACGCAGAACCCCGAUUGCGAAGGCAGCAUACCGGCGCCCGACUGACGCUGAGGCACGAAAGUGCGGGUAUCGAACA